AGGAAGGCCACAGGGGGGCGAUGUGUCAGCAGAGAAAACUGUUACAAGAGAAAGCCGUAAAGGCGGAGUAAAGACAAAAUCCUGCUCCUGUUCAAAAAGUUACUUUUGUGUGUGUAAGAAAUACAGCGCUAUUUCAAAACUACAAAGAUGAAAACCUCCAGGAGCUCUGAAGAUGGGAAUCCAUCUAGCCAUUGCCAUCAAGUGCUUCUUGUUUACAGCAUGGAACAGAAAGGCUGUCCCUGGGCCCAUUUCCUUUGCCUAUUUUACUCAUGGCACAGCUGAAGAGGAAGUAUGGAGUGCCUUGAAGACUUGGAAAGCUGCAGAUUAAGCCCAGCCAUCAGCCCAGAAACCAUGCAGCCACUCGCUCACUCCUCCCGCUUCCUCCCCCCGCUCCUGGAGGGAUGGAGAGGAGAAUCGAAAAAAUACAGCUCCCACGGGUUGAGAUA
This is a long non-coding RNA of Melopsittacus undulatus (budgerigar), 446 nucleotides long. RefSeq lists it as uncharacterized. NCBI's taxonomy places the organism in Eukaryota, Metazoa, Chordata, Aves, Psittaciformes, Psittaculidae. The transcript is spliced from 3 exons. The record is from RefSeq and is a predicted model, not a curated record.